Molecule: unclassified non-coding RNA, 373 nt
Filed under: uncultured Sphingobacteriales bacterium
Lineage: Bacteria; Pseudomonadati; Bacteroidota; Sphingobacteriia; Sphingobacteriales
Description: contains 16S-23S intergenic spacer region
Source: RNAcentral
UCACCGCUUGCGCGGGCAGUCUCAUUAGAGUCCCCAGCUUUACCUGAUGGCAACUAAUGAUAGGGGUUGCGCUCGUUACGGGACUUAACCCAACACCUCACGGCACGAGCUGACGACAGCCAUGCAGCACCUAGUUUCGUGUCCUUGCGGAAGGUCCCCUUUCAGGGACUGUCACUAACUUUCAAGCCCAGGUAAGGUUCCUCGCGUAUCAUCGAAUUAAACCACAUGCUCCUCCGCUUGUGCGGGCCCCCGUCAAUUCCUUUGAGUUUCAACCUUGCGGUCGUACUUCCCAGGUGGAUCACUUAAUGGUUUCCCUUAGACGCUGACUGUGUAUCGCCAACAUCGAGUGAUCAUCGUUUAGGGCGUGGACUAC